RNAcentral lists this long non-coding RNA (2670 nucleotides) under Gossypium barbadense (sea-island cotton). RNAcentral describes it as "long non-coding RNA (GBAR_LNC017855)". Lineage: Eukaryota; Viridiplantae; Streptophyta; Magnoliopsida; Malvales; Malvaceae. The record is from RNAcentral.
CAGGAAAAAAAAGGAUAGAUAUAUUCAAACUAUAGAAAGGAAAACUCUCAAGGUACAAAGCACAUAUACAAGUAAUAUUAAAAAAAAAGAAGAAGCUAACAUUUGUUUCCUAGAUUCCUAGCUAACCGGGAUUUUAAUACAACAAAAUAACUUUCACUGCACAAAGCAUUGAGAGAAGUACUCCAUGGAUAAUCUUUCGAAUGAGCUUGUGAACAGUCAUGUGAUUAUUACUGAAUGUAGUGGAUGAUGAAUGCUGGGGUGACAAGCUACUGGAUACGUGUUACCUAAGGCCCUGAUAUAGGCCUAGAUAAACUCAUCUCAUCUCUGCCAAACUUCUAAUCAACUGUUUCUUUGCUUUGUUCUGUUGCUCAGCUUCCAUGGACCAUGAAUAAAGAAGCCAGAGCAAAAAAUGGAAAAAGUAUGAUGGGAAAUGUAAACAAUAGUAGAACUUUACACCUCGUUUUGAUCACUAAUUCCCUAAAAUGUACAGAUGAAGCACCAACAUAGGUAAAAGCUCCCUUCCUUCAAAUGAUAGUUACUUGUUAAUUAGACCAUGUACUUUACUGCACAAAGCUCCUUUAGUUAACCCUGUUGUAAGUAAAACAAAAUGCUGCAAGUAAAUUAGCACACAUCUCAAUCCCAUGAGGGAGCAGUGGCAGACAAGUAGCUGCUGAAAACCCAGGAUUUGAAAGAAGAAAGCAUUUGAUAGAUGGAACAAUUAAGGGGGGUGUUGUUUUAACUAAAAUUUCAACACUCAACAGUGACAUCUUGAUUAUCAAAUUUAGGGUUUCAGAUAAGAUGUCAUGACGAAACCAGGCCAUGUGGGUAUUGUUUAAUCAGACCCAUGUCUGUGCCCACACUUCCAUUGGCAAACCUAUUGCUUACAAAAGCUGUCAUUUUCCUAUGCUAACUCUUCAAGACAUGUAUUUACAGUGAAAGCUCCAUUAUUCAUUUCAAUGAAACUAAAAUAGAAUAAACAAUAUAGCUGGCAUAUUCAAAAUUAUUACUGCAUCAUAAUAAAUUCAAGGCUUAAUACAUUUCAUUCACCAUGCAAAACAGAUAAGAGAUAAUACAGAUCUAAUCAGCUUAUACAAGAGUGAAGGAUGUUUAUCAUGUUAGAAUUGACUUGGUAACCCCUCAUGCCAAGGAACUCUAUUUCAUGGGACUUUGAAACUGUUAAAGAAAGGGCAAGUCUUUAUUUUUCCCUCAUCUUCGGUUCUUUACCAAGGUCAAGCAUCGUUUAAAAAAAGGAUUGAUUUUGAGGGAAGAGCCUAGGUCUUGAAACCCUAGAGAGAUGGUAAAAGAAGAGAGAAUGUUUACCAAAAGUUCAAAGCCGGAUCUGAAAACAGCAGAAACAGACAGAUCAGAGAACAGGAAGCCGUCAUGGGAAAGAUCUGCCUAAUGAUAAAUCAGAAAUAUAAGUGUUUGGACUGACAAAAACAUCAUAGCAUCAAAGAAAAAGAAAAAACAAAAAAAGAGUAAUGAUGAAACUUUUUACACAGAUGAUGAACAAAAAUUGGUCAAAACUCUUCAUCAUUACACCAAUCUGCACAUAACUAACAGUGUUAAUUGCUCUAGAAACAAGAUACCAAAUGAUUUAGAACAGCCAAAUUUUCCCAAAAGAGGAAACAAGAAAACGAAAAAAGGACCCAAAAUAAUCAUUGAAACAGAAGACCCAAACCUUUCCAUGCUGCAGCCCCGUGAUCUAGAAUCUAGACUUGGUUAGGCAGUCGGCAGUCCCAUAUAGGAGCAAGCAUUAGGGGGAAUGAAGCCUGGUCCGACGACCUUGUACAGCCUCAAUCCAUUACAGCAAUAACCAGAUCCAUAAAUGAAUUGUAAUGCAAGAAAUGGAUUAAAAACAAGUCUCCUCGAGCCAGACAACAUUCCCCUCAAAUUGGUUACUCCGCUCAGGACAUCUCAAUUAAAACUAUCUUGAAAGAGGCUUUUUUUCUCAUGAAUUAUGUAUGUGUAUCCCUGAUUCUCUUAUCUCUUUACCCCCCAAGAGUCUCGCCUGUGUUCAAGGGGGACUGAGAGAGAGAGAGAGAGAGAGAGAGAGAGAGAAAGGGGAGGGGGGGGUUAGGUGAUGAUCAUGAGAUGAUGAAGAGAAGGAUAUGGGUGAAGAGGGGUUUUUAAGAGGAGUAAAAAGAGGGGAAAGCCAACGUUAAAAAAGACAAAACAUAGCUGCAGACUCGACCCUACCAGCUGUUCUCUCAGUUCCAGAAAUAACCACGACCCCAUGCACUCUCAUCUCUCUCUAACCUGCUACUUCUCUCUCUACUUUGGGUGUUAUACGUAUGUAUCCAGAAAACAAAAAUAAAAAUCCUUUAUCGACCGUUUGAUUCUCUUGAUAAUAAGAUGUUAAAAACUCCUCGUACAAGCAAAGUUGACUGAGAAAUGGAGCAAAACACACCAUUUGAUGAUGGUUGAUGCUGUCAUCAAACAUAUAAAAAAAAAAAACCUACCGAGAUGAUACUGUCUUUUCGUUUAUGUAGCCUAGAAAUCCAGACCCCUUAAGAACCGUAGGAUUUAUGAGAUAUUUUAUUUUUGUAGAAUGAUGUUAAAUAAAGAGUGUACUGGCAUAAAAUAUAAUGAUGCAUAAAUAAUUGAAUAGAAAAGGAAUCAAAGUAAAGGAUGGCCUAAAAGUGAGUCAGAGGAGUGGUUGAGUUAUUG